UAUUAAAGUUGUUGCGGUUAAAAAGCUCGUAGUUGAAUCUGUGUCUCGCGCUGUCGGUUCACCGCCCGCGGUGUUAAACUGGCACGCCCGCGAGACGUCCUGCCGGUGGGGCCGCGGGCCUUUCGCUUCGGCGAUCGAUGCUCGCGCGCCCCGACUUGAAAUCCUGCCGCGGUGCUCUUCGCUGAGUGUCGAGGCGGGCCGGCACGUUUACUUUGAACAAAUUAGAGUGCUCAAAGCAGGCUAAAACUUCGCCUGAAUACUGUGUGCAUGGAAUAAUGGAACAGGACCUCGGUUCUAUUUUGUUGGUUUUCGGAACCCCGAGGUAAUGAUUAAUAGGGACAGAUGGGGGCAUUCGUAUUGCGACGUUAGAGGUGAAAUUCUUGGACGUCGCAAGACGGACAGAAGCGAAAGCAUUUGCCAAAAAUGUUUUCAUUAAUCAAGAACGAAAGUCAGAGGUUCGAAGGCGAUCAGAUACCGCCCUAGUUCUGACCAUAAACGAUGCCAGCUAGCGAUCCGCCGACGUUCCUCCGAUGACUCGGCGGGCAGCUUCCGGGAAACCAAAGCUUUUGGGUUCCGGGGGAAGUAUGGUUGCAAAGCUGAAACUUAAAGGAAUUGACGGAAGGGCACCACCAGGAGUGGAGCCUGCGGCUUAAUUUGACUCAACACGGGAAACCUCACCAGGCCCGGACACCGGAAGGAUUGACAGAUUGAGAGCUCUUUCUUGAUUCGGUGGGUGGUGGUGCAUGGCCGUUCUUAGUUGGUGGAGCGAUCUGUCUGGUUAAUUCCGAUAACGAGCGAGACUCUAGCCUGCUAACUAGGCGUUACCUUCCGGCAUCCCGAAGGCUCGCGUCUCCCGUCGCCGGCGCGGUCGGGUGUCGCGUUGCGGCGCUUCGGCGCUAGCGCGCGCCCCGUCCGUCCGGUCGGGUGCUCGCGGCUUUUACUGCCGGCGUACACAUGAAUCUUCUUAGAGGGACAGGCGGCUCCUAGCCGCACGAGAUUGAGCAAUAACAGGUCUGUGAUGCCCUUAGAUGUUCUGGGCCGCACGCGCGCUACACUGAAGGAAUCAGCGUGUCCUCCCUGGCCGAGCGGUCCGGGUAACCCGCUGAACCUCCUUCGUGCUAGGGAUUGGGGCUUGCAAUUGUUCCCCAUGAACGAGGAAUUCCCAGUAAGCGCGAGUCAUAAGCUCGCGCUGAUUACGUCCCUGCCCUUUGUACACACCGCCCGUCGCUACUACCGAUUGAAUGAUUUAGUGAGGUCUUCGGACCGGUACGCGGCGAGGUUCCGACCCCGCCGAUGUCGCUGGGAAGAUGACCAAACUUGAUCAUUU
This 1327-nucleotide ribosomal RNA is filed under the name Ilybius meridionalis. RNAcentral's name for it is "SSU rRNA". It matches the Rfam family "Eukaryotic small subunit ribosomal RNA", at positions 602 to 1774 of the family's 1831-position model. The record is from RNAcentral. Lineage: Eukaryota; Metazoa; Arthropoda; Insecta; Coleoptera; Dytiscidae.